Molecule: ribosomal RNA, 460 nt
Filed under: uncultured bacterium
Lineage: Bacteria
Description: partial 16S ribosomal RNA
Rfam family: Bacterial small subunit ribosomal RNA
Source: RNAcentral
CCUACGGGAGGCAGCAGUGAGGAAUAUUGGUCAAUGGACGAGAGUCUGAACCAGCCAAGUAGCGUGAAGGAUGACUGCCCUAUGGGUUGUAAACUUCUUUUAUAUGGGAAUAAAAUGUUCCACGUGUGGGAUUUUGUAUGUACCAUAUGAAUAAGGAUCGGCUAACUCCGUGCCAGCAGCCGCGGUAAUACGGAGGAUCCGAGCGUUAUCCGGAUUUAUUUGGUUUAAAGGGAGCGUAGGUGGAUUGUUAAGUCAGUUGUGAAAGUUUGCGGCUCAACCGUAAAAUUGCAGUUGAAACUGGCAGUCUUGAGUACAGUAGAGGGUGGCGGAAUUCGUGGUGUAGCGGUGAAAUGCUUAGAUAUCACGAAGAACUACGAUUGCGAAGGCAGCUCACUGGACUGCAACUGACACUGAGGCUCGAAAGUGUGGGUAUCAAACAGGAUUAGAUACCCCGGUAGUC